UACGGGGGGGGCAAGCGUUGUUCGGAAUUACUGGGCGUAAAGGGCUCGUAGGCGGCCAACUAAGUCGGAUGUGAAAUCCCCAGGCUCAACUUGGGAACUGCAUCCGAUACUGGAUGGCUUGAAUUCGGGAGAGGGAUGCAGAAUUCCAGGUGUAGCGGUGAAAUGCGUAGAUAUCUGGAGGAAUACCAAAGGCGAAGGCAGCGUCCUGGGAAGCAUCUGACGCUCAGGUGCGAAAGCUAGGGGAGCGAACGGG
RNAcentral lists this ribosomal RNA (253 nucleotides) under uncultured bacterium. RNAcentral's name for it is "partial 16S ribosomal RNA". It matches the Rfam family "Bacterial small subunit ribosomal RNA", at positions 524 to 776 of the family's 1533-position model. The record is from RNAcentral.